RNAcentral lists this ribosomal RNA (376 nucleotides) under uncultured fungus. RNAcentral's name for it is "LSU rRNA". Lineage: Eukaryota; Fungi. The record is from RNAcentral.
UUGAAAGGGAAACGAUUGAAGUCAGUCAUACCAACGGGAAAUCAACCUUUUGAGCUCGGUCUCGUGGGUUUUGAAGAGUUUCAAAGCCUUCGGAUUCGCGGGAUUGGGAUCUCUUGGCGUACUUUUUCGUACGGUUAGUCAACAUCGGUUUUGAAUGUCAUAAAAUGACUGGAGGAAUGUAGCUUCGAUCUCGUAUUGAAGUGUUAUAGCCUUUGGUAGAUGUGAUGUUUGAGACCGAGGAUUGCAACGGAUACCCUUCAGGGCUAUUCGUCUGAUCUCUGAUACGUUGCCUUGAUGUUGAAAGCUUGCUUAUGAUGUUAGGGUAUUACGGUCAAAAGGUUAGAACGAAUUACAUUCGUUAAGGAUGUUGACGUAA